UACGUAGGGUGCAAGCGUUGUCCGGAAUCAUUGGGCGUAAAGAGCGUGUAGGCGGCUCGAUUAGUCCGCUGUAAAAGUCCAGGGCUCAACCCUGGGAUGCCGGUGGAAACUGUCGGGCUAGAGUCCGGGAGAGGCGAGUGGAAUUCCUGGUGUAGCGGUGAAAUGCGUAGAGACCCGGAGGAACACCAGUGGCGAAGGCGGCGUCCUGGCCUGCGACUGACGCUGUGGCGCGAAAGCUAGGGGAGCGAACGGG
Molecule: ribosomal RNA, 253 nt
Filed under: uncultured bacterium
Lineage: Bacteria
Description: partial 16S ribosomal RNA
Rfam family: Bacterial small subunit ribosomal RNA
Source: RNAcentral